AUGGGGGGCUUCCCAGGCUCCCCUUCCCAUCAUUUUAGGCAUUUAAGCUGUUUCCUACUUAGAGGAGGAGAGGAGAGGCAUUGCAGGCAGGCAAGUGCACACACUUUCUCUCCCAGGUCAGCACCCUACGCACACACUCUUUCCAAGGCAUUUAAAGGAGGCAAGUUCUUAAAGCUGUUUCCUACUCUAGAGGAGAAGAGGCGCUGCAGACAGGCAUGCACGCUUUCUCUUCCUGGUGCCACAUACUCUUUCCAAGGCAUUUUAAGGAGGCUGCCCACUUCCAGGUCCAUCUUUCGCCUGUGUUCAACCACUUUGUGCCAAUAGGAGUUGGGCAAAGCACUCUAGAUUCUAUUUCUCUACACUGCCAGAAUGGAGCCCAGUGGAAUCCUGCUGGAAGUUGCCCUGUAUUGUAUGAUAUGGGACUCUGACUCAGCAACAGAGAGAAACGGGGAGAAGACGCAGAGAAGACUACAUCUGAUGAGGUCAUAAAUUUCACUUCUGGGUGCUUGGAGCAACAAAGUGCUUCCAUAGUGGAGGGGUGGGCAAAAUGUGGUCCUAGGAACUGCAUCUACCUCCCGAAAUCACCGUUGUUUUUGCAAACUUUGAUCGGUUCACCUUCCCUGGGUAGUCCCUUUCUAGUCAGGCAAAAGGGUACAUUGCCUCUCCUGGAAACCUUUCACACCUUUUGAAUAGGUUACAACUCUCUUACACUUUUUCAAAACUAGAAAUGAACUUCCAACAAGUUUUUGGUUUUGAUUUUAGGGCAUGAGCACUCUUGACUUCAGAAUCUCAGGGCAGGAAAUUGGCCCAAGAACGAUCACAAUGGCCCAGAGUAUCCCAUUUCUAUUGUGACUGACCAGGGUGAAAACAAUGUACUUCACUCCUUCUUUAUAGUUUUAUAAUCCAAUUCCAUAGUUGUAUCCAUAGUUUAUAGACUAUAGAUGACUUUAAAAUAAUGGAUGAUAUAUAAGUGAAUAAUAGUAAUAAUAAUUUUAUUUCUAACCCGCCUUUCCUCACGGCUCGAGACGGGUAACAACAUUGCCAAAACACAUAAUGAAGACACAGAAUCAUUUAAAAACACUCCGUAGAAUACACAUAUUAAAACAUAUUUCCAUAAAAUUCAUAUUAAAAUACACAAAACAAAAGCUAGACAAAACAAAAAUUGACCCGAUUAAAAGCUAAGUUGUGUGUUACUUGUCAGAGUUUAGAGACCACUUAAGCAGGUGACAUGAAAUAUCCCACUCUGCCAAGUCUGCACCAAUAAGAGUUUUUCAUUGGAACUAGUUGACUCACAUUGUCUAUUAAAAAACAUGCUGUAUACUGCUCUUGUUUGCCACAGUUGUCUGAACUAGGCUCAGUUUUCUCACCAUCACAGUCCAUAGGGUCUCCAGAGAGAAGAAAGGAGUGAAAUUUAGGGCAUUCAUCCUGAGGAGGUGGGAGUAUGCAGCUAGUUUCCUUGAUUAAUUUGGCAUAUUCUUUUUAGGAGAUGUCUGACAUCUGUGACUUCUGGAUCAUGGAGUCAUUAUUUUAACAUGUGUUUAUCAAUGUGUGUUCAUGAUUUGAUUAUUGUGAUGCCAAAUAAAGUAAGUCAUACCUUAGGCUUAUUUCUCCUCAAAGAGCUUUCACAUCACCUGAUGUUGCUUCCAACCCAGGCACAAUACCUUUCAAUGGAAACAGAGGAAAAGGGAUGAUUGCUUUUGCCUCCUUAGAAAAAAGCUCAGAAAAAAUACUGUACACACACCCGCAUGCUGAGUUCCUAGUAGUCAAGAACAUUUUUCCCUCAGUCCUCAAUUGUUUAUACUUA
This 1804-nucleotide long non-coding RNA is filed under the name Anolis carolinensis (green anole). RNAcentral describes it as "lncRNA (ENSACAG00000036207.1)". Lineage: Eukaryota; Metazoa; Chordata; Lepidosauria; Squamata; Anolidae. The record is from RNAcentral.